AAGAUAGGAGAACGGACUGGGAAGUCCGGCCGGAGAGAGUGAAAGCCUCGUAUCCGAAAUCCCAAGUCGCCUAGCAGGAUCCAGAGUAGGACGAGACACGAGAAACCUUGUCUGAACGAGCGGGGACCACCCCGUAAGGCUAAAUACUUCUUAGUGACCGAUAGCGCAUAGUACUGUGAAGGAAAGGUGAAAAGUACCCCGGGAGGGGAGUGAAAGAGAACCUGAAACCCUGUGUCUACAAGCUGUGGGACCUCUUUAUAUGAGGGACUGCGUACUUUUUGUAGAACGGUCCGGCGAGUUGUGCGUACUGGCGAGGUUAAGGACUUAAGGUCUGGAGCCGAAGUGAAAGCAAGCGUUAAUAGCGCGUCAAGUCAGUGAGUGCAGACCCGAAACCGGGUGACCUAUCCAUGUCCAGGUUGAAGCUUCCGUAAGAGGAAGUGGAGGACCGAACCCACAUCCGUUGAAAAGGGUGGGGAUGAGGUGUGGAUAGGGGAGAAAUUCCAAUCGAACCCGGAGAUAGCUGGUUCUCCUCGAAAUAGCUUUAGGGCUAGCCUCAUGAGAGUCUUAUGGAGGUAGAGCACUGAAUUGCCUAGGGGGCGUCAAAGCUUACCAAAGCAUAUCAAACUCCGAAUGCCAUCAAGAUGAUUCAUGGGAGUCAGACCAUACGAGAUAAGUUGGAUGGUCAAAAGGGAAAGAGCCCAGACCUACAGCUAAGGUCCCAAAGUACGUGUUAAGUGGAAAAGGAUGUGGGGAUUCUAAGACAACUAGGACGUUGGCUUAGAAGCAGCCAUUCAUUGAAAGAGUGCGUAAUAGCUCACUAGUCGAGAGUCCCUGCGCCGAAAAUGUCCGGGGCUGAAACACGACACCGAAGCUUAGGAAUGUGUAAACAUUGGUAGAGGAGCAUUGCUAGCGGGAUGAAGCCAUACCGUAAGGAGUGGUGGACUGCUAGGAAGAGAGAAUGCCGGAAUGAGUAGCGAGAUGAAGGUGAGAAUCCUUCAGGCCGAAUAUCUAAGGUUUCCAGAGUAAAGCUGAUCUGCUCUGGGUAAGUCGGGACCUAAGGCGAGGUCGAAAGACGUAGUCGAUGGAUAACAGGUUGAAAUUCCUGUACCGCAUAUAAACAGAACUGUGGGGACACAGACAGGGAAUGGAAUCCGGGAAUGGAAAUCCCGGUGCAAGCGAGGUAGGAGUGCUGUUGGCAAAUCCGCAGCACGAUCUGAAGACGUGACGCGUACCGAACAUAAGUAGGGAAGUCCAGGCCCCUGGCUGUCAAGAAAAGCCGCUAUUGUUUUAUAUGUGCCCGUACCGCAAACCGACACAGGUGGAUGAGGAGAGAAUCCUAAGGCCGACGGGAGAAGCAUUGUUAAGGAACUCGGCAAAAUGACUCCGUAACUUCGGGAGAAGGAGUGCCAUGAGAGUGGCCGCAGAGAAAUGGCCCAAGCAACUGUUUAGCAAAAACACAGGUCUAUGCAAAACCGCAAGGUGAAGUAUAUGGGCUGACGCCUGCCCGGUGCUGGAAGGUUAAGGGGAGAGGUUAGCGCAAGCGAAGCUUUGAACUUAAGCCCCAGUAAACGGCGGCCGUAACUAUAACGGUCCUAAGGUAGCGAAAUUCCUUGUCGGGUAAGUUCCGACCCGCACGAAAGGCGUAAUGAUUUGGGCACUGUCUCAACGAUACACCCGGUGAAAUUGAAAUACCAGUGAAGAUGCUGGUUACCUGCGCCAGGACGGAAAGACCCCAUGGAGCUUUACUCCAGUUUGAUACUGGGAUUCGGCAUGGUAUGUACAGGAUAGGUGGGAGACUGAGAAGGUAUGACGUCAGUUGUACCGGAGUCGCUGUUGGGAUACCACCCUUACCAUGUUGGAUUUCUAACCUGUGGCCGUAAGCCGGUCAGGGGACAAUGUCAGGCGGGGAGUUUGACUGGGGCGGUCGCCUCCGAAAGGGUAUCGGAGGCGCUCAAAGGUUCCCUCAGAAUGGUUGGAAACCAUUCGAAGAGUGCAAAGGCAGAAGGGAGCUUGACUGCGACACCGACGGGUGGAGCAGGUACGAAAGUAGGACUUAGUGAUCCGGUGGUAUAAAGUGGGAUUGCCAUCGCUCAACGGAUAAAAGCUACCCUGGGGAUAACAGGCUUAUCACUCCCAAGAGUUCACAUCGACGGAGUGGUUUGGCACCUCGAUGUCGGCUCAUCGCAUCCUGGAGCUGUAGCAGGUUCCAAGGGUUGGGCUGUUCGCCCAUUAAAGCGGUACGCGAGCUGGGUUCAGA
This 2257-nucleotide ribosomal RNA is filed under the name metagenome. RNAcentral describes it as "bacterial LSU rRNA". It matches the Rfam family "Bacterial large subunit ribosomal RNA", at positions 326 to 2615 of the family's 2925-position model. The record is from RNAcentral.